Molecule: long non-coding RNA, 6174 nt
Filed under: Homo sapiens (human)
Lineage: Eukaryota; Metazoa; Chordata; Mammalia; Primates; Hominidae
Description: HSALNT0361442
Source: RNAcentral
AGCCACCACGUCGGAUCUUGGCUGUGUGACCUUAAGCAUGUUACUUCACCUCUCUGUGCCUCAGUUUCCUUAAUUGAAAAAUGAUAAUAGUCUCCAACUUUGAGGGUGAUUGUGAGGCCUGGAUAAAAUAAUAUGUGUAAAGCACUUAGAACAGUGGCCGGCAUAGAGGAAGAUGAUUACCUUUGUCAUGAUUACUGUUUGUCAGGACUGUUUGAAAGGACUCUGAGCGGAAGCUCUCUAUCUGGCUGCCUCCCUGUCCUGCAAGCCGCUCCCUGUUCACCAUUCUCCUCCUGGUUAAGUACGGGCAUCUGUGUCCCAAGAGAGGGCUCCACUGCAGACCCUGACCACCAGCAUACCUGCCCACAGAGGCCGAAAAUGUGGUAGUCAGCUGCUUCUCUGAAAUUCCAGCCCGGGAGAGGUAAACUAAGGAAAUGCCAUCCUCCUGAGUGUCCUGAACUGUCAUCUGUCCCAGCGAAUGUCUGACAUUAAGGAUCUACCCAUCUCAAAGCCGUCACUUGCUGUAUUGCCUGGGGCUGGAAACUGAGCUUCCUAGCAAGUCUCUGAUGUGUGUUAGGUGUUACUGUUACCAUUUCAUGGAUGAGCAGACUGUGGCUGGAGGAGACCAGGUACCUAAAGGGGAGGAGAAUUUCAGUGUUUAAUUCUUAGUUCUCUGUUCAGCCCUAGUUCUUAGUGUUCUUUGUACGGUACUCCGCACUGCUCAGCUCUCCCAGCAGAGGCAAUAAAGACGUCCAAACCCAUAUACAGUGUGUAAAAAAGAAGAUCCAGGAUCUCUGGAGGCCUGGAGGAAGCCAAAGUGACCCUUUUGUACUCUGUCAUGCUUCCUAUAAACUGCUUCAAAUUGAAUCCCAACGCCAGCCUGCGAUCAUGUUUUCAAAAUACUGCCGAGGCUUUGAAACUCUCUUUGCUACAUAUGAUGUGCUUCCCAGGCACAUAGCAGGUGCUCAGCAAAGGAGUCAUGGAACUAGAGGGUUGGCCCAGUAGCUCUGAUGGAGCCCCAGCUCUGGGCACUGGCGAGCAUUUCCUCUCCACUUAGGCAGGGAGAUGACAGCCCUCUUGCCAGCUGCAGGGGGAGGUCUUCCGUUACAGGAUUAACUGGCGCCUGCACUUUUGCUGGAAACUUGUGGGAAGUGGCUGAGAGCUCUCCAGUGCUUAAGAAGUGGGUUUUGGAAAACAAACAAGAUCUUGCCUACGCAGGAAUAGGAAUGAAGCAAAGGUUAGACAUGGCUUGGGGGAGUUUUUUUCUUUUUUUUUCUUUUUUUGGUUUGACUGAAUAACAGGCUAGAAGGAACUCUCAAAGUUCAAAGUGGGCCUUAGACCCUUUAAAAGUAGGUCCAUAAACUUGUGUAGAGGACAGUGAGUUCUCUGUUUAGAGUAAAUUUAAUGACAACUAUCAUUUGUAAAAGGCAUCAUAAUUUACAAAGCCCUUUCCACAUGCACUGUAUGUGUAUAUAAAUACUAUAUGUGACCUUCCCCUUUAAGAUUAUUUAUCCCACGAUUUGAGGGCGCCUAGACAAUUUUUAAAAAAAGAUUUUUUUUUUAAAGAUGCAUGGUCUCUUCAUUUUGCCUGUAGUAUAGUGGAAAUAACACAGGCAGGCUUCCAGUCUCUGGGCCUCAGUUUACCCAGCUGCAAAACAAGGACAAUAGGAGAGAUGGACCCAGGGAAGGUUUGCCUCUUACGGGCUCAAGAGCCUACUGGGAGUGCAGAGAGUGGGAGCUGAGUUGACUCUGAACAUAUUGGGCCAUUCAAGGGUGCCCAGCACAGGUGGUGGGGACCCCAGACAUCAGCGGCAGGGAGGUCCCCUUCAGAUGCUGCCAGCUCAGAGGAUACAGAGCUGUCUCUUCCUGAAGCCAGAUGGGGAGGCUGAGGCCCACGGGCCCAUGAGCAGCUGGGCUGUGUACCCAUCUGCCCUCCUACACCUGGUUCUCAAGGUGAUCUGCCUGUGUCCCUGUCCCCGACUGUGCUAAUUCUUGAGUGUAGUCCCUGAGUGGUGAAUAGGAUUUCCCUCCAUGAAUUAGAGCAGCGGUGUGCUUUCUGCCUGAGGCUCCAGCGAGGACUCUGAUCCUGUGUCCCCUCUGCUCUCUCCCCGUGUGGGGCUCUGCCUCUUCCUCUUCCUUUGUGUCCUCCUCUGUCCUCUUCCUGCCCUCAUUCAUCUUUUCUUUCUCUUCUUCCCUCCUCUGUAAUCCCAUGGAGCUGACUGGUUUUUAACUGUAUUUUAUGUUUCUUGUUCCUUACAUCAAACAUGAAUUCAUUAAAUGGUUUCAUAGUCAAGGGAGAACAUCUCUAAGAUUGCUUUAUUUGUGAAUUAUGUGUGCUUCAGUUAAUAUUUUUUUCUAAAUAAUUAGUGAAGCAUCCUGGCCAGGGUUGUUUCUAGGGGUGUGGUCCUGGGUCUCCAUCCUUACAAUGGGGAGAGCAACACUUCCCCCUCUGGGGCAGCAGUGAGCAAAUGAGGGACUGAAUGCGUCCAGACAGCGGCAGGCCCUGGCCCUUCUACUUGAGUUACCACAAGGAUAUGUCACUUGUUACUGAGUGGUCCCAGGCAGCGGCCUCAGCUUUUCUGGAACUCACUUGAGAUGGACUCAGACGCUGUGGUUUUGAAGGCUUUGUUGUAGCGGUUCCUUGGGCUGGAAUCAGCCCUGUGUCAGCAGCUGCUGGUGGAGGUGACUGGGGGUUCCCGAGAGUGGAUGAGUUGUCCGUAUCUGUCUUACUUCUCGGCUAUCUUGCUGGUGGCUGGCAGCUGCCUCCCUGAAAGCCCAGGUUGACUCCCUGCUGUCUGUGUGGGUGGGCUUCCCAGGGCACCCUCCCUGGGCUUUCCCUCCACCUUUCUUCAGUCUCGUCUUUUGCCCUUGUUCCCUGGGGUAGGCGGGUUGUUGAUAGGGAGGGGCAGUUCCCGGGGUGGGGUGGGGAAGGAAAAGCUUGAACUGCUAGGACCCCAGAGGUUGUCUGUGACCCUCUCUGCCCACUGUUCAGUGUUGCUUUUCCUCCUCCUCCUCCUCCCAUCCAUAUAUGUGGGCAAUUCCCUCCUUUUUUCUCCAGCUUUUUGCUGUUCAUUAUGGGAGUCACAAGCCACGUGGCUAGGGCACUUGAAAUGUGGUAAGUCCGCAUUGAGCUGCGCUGUACAUAUAAAAUACUCACCUCAUUUUAAAGGCUUAGUAUAAAAAAUGAUUAUCAAAUAUUUUAUCGAUACUUUUUAUAUUGAUUACGUGUUGCAAUGAUAAUAUUUUGCAUAUAAUAGAUUAGAAUAUUGAAAUUAACUUCCUAUUUCUUGUCACUUUUUUAGAAAAAAUGUGGCUAUCAGAAAAUUUAAAAUUGCACGUGUGGCUCACCUUAUAUUUCUAUUGCAGUGAUUCUUAACUGGUGGCUGUUUUGCCUUCCAGGGACGUUUGAUAAUAUUUGAAGACUUUUUUUUAUUGUCAUGCUGUUGGGAGAGUGGCGUGGUUGGCACGAGCACCUAGUUGGAAGAGGCCGGGGAAGCUGCUGAACAUCCUACAAUGCACAGGAUAACACCCUACAACCAAAAUUAUCUGGUCCCAAAUGUAGUAGUGCUGAGGUUGAGAAACCCAGUUCUAUUGUAUAGCACUGUUUUACUCUCACUUUUGAUGAACCAAUCUUCUCUCAUUGACAAUGACACUAAAAUUGGAGGGCUUAGGGCACAGUAGAAAGAGCAUAAUGGCCAGAGUCAGAUACCUGUGACCCUGGGCAGGUUAUGUAACAUUUCAGAGCCUCCACUUCCUCAUCUGUGAAAUGGACGCAAUGAUACCUACUUUAUAGGAUCCUUGUUAGGACUCAAUGAAAUUGAACAUAGCAUACCUGACACAUGGUAGACCUCCACUCAGUAGAAAUUAGCAUUAUUGUUAAAAUUUGUGUCACUAUGCGGACUCUCUGGAUCAACUAUUAGGAUUUCUACACAUCUUUUAGAUUUUCAAUGAGUACCUUACACUCAACAAAUAGAAAACUAAAUUCAUAAUUUUACACUUCCUCUCCCCUCCCACUCCCUAAAUUUAUUCUUCUUUCUGAUUUUCAGUCUUAGAGCACAGUAUCACCAUUCUCCCACUCUGAGAACCUGAGUCAGUUUCACUUCUUCCUUCUACCCUCCAGCCUGAAUUUGUAAUCUCUUAACCUUUAUACGUUAACUGUGUUUCAUCCAACCCCUCCUUUACAUUCCUGCCUAGUGGGACCUCUGCAUCUGCUGUAAGUGGCUUCCUUCCAGGUCCUUGCCUCUACUCUUUCCCAGUCCCCACUAUGUGUAAAGUUCUCUUGCUCAGGAACCUUGAUGUUUUUUUUGUUUUGUUUUUGUUUUUGUUUUUGCUAAAGUGCGAGUACCUAUGGUCAGAAAAUGUGACAUAUCCAUCUGUAUUUCCCUAGCACCAGAUAUGAUGCCUAGAAAAUAGCUGUUCAUUCAGUGUUUUUUGAAUGAAUGCAUAGAUAAAUAAAUGAUAGAUAUCCUUUUCCCGUUGGUACAUGGGUAGGAUCAGGUAUUACAGGGAGCUAGGGUAGCAGUUUCCAAAUGCCCUAUUUCCCUUUAAUAGUUUUGCAGGGUUUAAAUUACAUAUUCCCUAACCUACCUUAUCUCACCACCCCCACUACCUCCACCACCUUCCUGAUUUUGAGCUGGAGACUCAGUUUGUUUUCUCUGAAAGGGUUACAGCGAUGAUGCAUUAGACCUGGGUCCCGGAAAUCCUGCCUUCCAUAUGUGGGCUUCCGCAGGCAGCCUGAGCCAGCUAUGGCUCACGUUCUGCAAGCCCAGGCCUGCCACCAGAGGGAAAGUGCCCUAGAUGCCCAGGCAUGCCUUCCUCUUGGUGGCCAAAGAUUUCCCAGGCAGCUCCCAGCAGGCUGUGAGGGGAGGCUUUCCAGAAAUUUGCCCUUAAAGAUGCUCUGAUAGAGAAAACAUAACAUGUUCUUUGGCAGGUUGUGGGCAUCUAUCAUACAGUAAUCAUGGGCAGUCGGGAUGGUGUAGGAUUGGAGCCUCCCGAUGUCUAGACACUUUGGUCUGUUCACAGUUUCAAAAACAUUUUAAUUACAAACCACUUUAUGGUGUAAGGUGACCCACAUGGAGUUAUCAAGAACUUCUGAGUAAGUUUGCUAACUUCUUUUGUGGCAGCUGCAAGUUGACUCAAAACUACAUUCCGCUGGUGAGUAUGGGUUGUCUGGCCUGGAAGACAUGUGUGAGUUGCUCUAAGGGGCUCGCUGUUCUCUUACUAUCUGGAAGGCCUCAAAGUUCCUCUGGUGGGAAAGAUUUUCUUCUGCAAACACCCUGGGAUUUGUCUCUUGAAGAAUCAGGGUUUUGGACUCUCCUACGUAACCAUCUUCUGUGGGUUGGAUAUCAGAUGUGUAUCCAACCCCCAGAAGAUGGAUCAAGGUGCAGUUGACUAAAUGGCUUUUCUCUUGGGAAACUUGAGGAUUUUCUGUCACCUCUAACUGGCUUUGUGACAUCUGAAGUUGUUUCCUGUAUCUGAAGCUACUUAUUUCAUUGGUAAAGGUAGUAAAACUCCCACCUAUUUUCAGCUUUGAUUCCUUUUCUCCCCUGACCCCAAAACUUGUGCUUCAGAAUAAGUUGUUUCACAGACAAGGUUGCAUAUGUUAGGUGACAAUAUCUUCUCUCCAUUUUUGUAAAGUGUAAAGUCACAUCACUGCCUGUCAGCAUUUCUAAUCAGCCACAGAUAAUUUGUGUUCACACUAAAUUGUCACAAUCCCAUGCAAAAUUAAGCAAGAGUGGUGAUUAAUAGCAUGAGUCCAGAGUUGAACAGAUUUGGGUUUGAAACUUAGCUCUGCCUUUUACCAGAUAAACAUCUUUAAGUAGCAGGACUUCAACUUCAAUGUCCUCACCUGAAAUCAAGAGAUAAAAUAGUUCCUACCUUAUAAGUUAGUUUAUCCCUUAUUUAAUAAGAUAAUAUAUGUAAAGCCCCAAGACAGUAUCUUCUUAAAUAUAGACUAUUAUAUUUCAGUUAGCCUCAGUGUGCAUCCUGAUUUGGGGUAAAGGUAUGAUUUGAUUUGAUUUGAUUGACUGAUUGAUUUGGCAAAUAUUUAUCAGUACCUGCUGAGGAUGAGGGACUGCUCUAGCCUCUGGGGAUACAGCUAUGAAUCAGAGACAAGGCCUCUGCUUUAGUGGAACUUAUGUUCUAGAGGGAGACAAACAAAGUGAACUAUUUAACAAA